UGGGGAAUAUUGGACAAUGGGCGGAAGCCUGAUCCAGCAACGCCGCGUGAGGGAUGACGGCCUUCGGGUUGUAAACCUCUUUCAGUACCGACGAAGCGAAAGUGACGGUAGGUACAGAAGAAGGACCGGCCAACUACGUGCCAGCAGCCGCGGUAAUACGUAGGGUCCGAGCGUUGUCCGGAAUUAUUGGGCGUAAAGGGCUCGUAGGCGGUUUGUCGCGUCGGGAGUGAAAACAGCGGGCUUAACUCGUUGCUUGCUUUCGAUACGGGCAGACUAGAGGUAUGCAGGGGAGAAUGGAAUUCCUGGUGUAGCGGUGAAAUGCGCAGAUAUCAGGAGGAACACCGGUGGCGAAGGCGGUUCUCUGGGCAUUACCUGACGUUGAGGAGCGAAAGUGUGGGGAGCGAACAGGAUUAGAUACCCUGGUAGUCCACACCGUAAACGUUGGGCGCUAGGUGUGGGGUCCUUUCCACGGAUUCCGUGCCGUAGCUAACGCAUUAAGCGCCCCGCCUGGGGAGUACGGCCGCAAGGCUAAAACUCAAAUGAAUUGACGGGGUCAUAGCUG
This 562-nucleotide ribosomal RNA is filed under the name uncultured bacterium. RNAcentral's name for it is "partial 16S ribosomal RNA". It matches the Rfam family "Bacterial small subunit ribosomal RNA", at positions 355 to 932 of the family's 1533-position model. The record is from RNAcentral.